Jaculus jaculus (lesser Egyptian jerboa) is the source of this 246-nucleotide long non-coding RNA. RefSeq lists it as uncharacterized. The transcript has 2 exons. NCBI's taxonomy places the organism in Eukaryota, Metazoa, Chordata, Mammalia, Rodentia, Dipodidae. The record is from RefSeq and is a predicted model, not a curated record.
CCUGACUACAGAAACGAUGUCAUACAGUCCUAUGAGGCUCUACUUUAGACCCGCUCCUGGCUCAUACCCUAUUGGUUCAAGAACUGGCAAACAAUUACUGGGCUCAUGGCUAAUGCCAUUCUGUGUCUUCCACUUCCCUGCCUCCUCCUUAUAAAGUGACACCAGAGACAAACUUUUUAUGUAUCUAUUACUAUUUAUAUAUUUUCUUAAAUUUUAAAAAAAGCUAUGUUACAACCAAAUUUCUAA